RNAcentral lists this transfer RNA (75 nucleotides) under Sphaerodactylus townsendi. Its description in RNAcentral is "tRNA-Asn". Lineage: Eukaryota; Metazoa; Chordata; Lepidosauria; Squamata; Sphaerodactylidae. The record is from RNAcentral.
UUUCCUGUGGCUCAGUGGCACAGCCUCUGCUGGUUGUGCAGAAGGUCCGAGGUUCAAUCCCUGGCAGCACUUAAA